RNAcentral lists this ribosomal RNA (406 nucleotides) under uncultured bacterium. RNAcentral's name for it is "partial 16S ribosomal RNA". It matches the Rfam family "Bacterial small subunit ribosomal RNA", at positions 30 to 526 of the family's 1533-position model. The record is from RNAcentral.
AUUGAACGCUGGCGGCAGGCCUAACACAUGCAAGUCGAACGAGUGGCGGACGGGUGAGUAAUGUCUGGGAAACUGCCUGCUGGAGGGGGAUAACUACUGGAAACGGUAGCUAAUACCGCAUACCAUCAGAUGUGCCCAGGUGGGAUUGGCUUGUUGGUGGGGUAACGGCGCACCAAGGCGACGAUCCCUAGCUGGUCUGAGAGGAUGACCAGGCGCACUGGAACUGAGACACUGGCCAGACGCCUACGUGAGGCAGCAGGGGGGAAUAUUGCACGAUGGGCGAAAGCGUGAUGCAGCCAUGCCGCGUGUAUGAAGAAGGCCUUCGGGUUGUAAAGUACUUUCAGCGGGGAGGCGUUACCCGCAGAAGAAGCACCGGCUAACUCCGUGCCAGCAGCCGCGGUAAUUC